Non-coding RNA from Paramuricea clavata, 308 nucleotides. Lineage: Eukaryota; Metazoa; Cnidaria; Anthozoa; Malacalcyonacea; Plexauridae. The record is from the annotation of a GenBank genome assembly.
GUAACAAUUAACGGCGUUAAACAACAAAGAGCUGACUCGACUGAGCGAAAACGAAUUUUAUUCAGCUGGGGCCGGUUGUAUAAAACUCUUAAUCACUUUUUUAAUCACUAUUUUGUAGUUAAAUAGUGAUUAACUCUCAAAUACGCGCUUCUUAUUGGAUGACGUUUCCACUAACUAUAGUUAACUUUAAUCACUUUUUUAUACAACCGGCCCCUGAUAUUUCAGUUGACUGUUUCGUCGUCCUGUUUUAGACGUCACGUCUUUACAGUAUACGAUAUUUUUUAAUAUCUGAGACAAUAUUAAUUUAU